This 244-nucleotide ribosomal RNA is filed under the name uncultured bacterium. Its description in RNAcentral is "partial 16S ribosomal RNA". It matches the Rfam family "Bacterial small subunit ribosomal RNA", at positions 111 to 354 of the family's 1533-position model. The record is from RNAcentral.
UAACGCGUGAGGAACCUGCCGUUUCAGAGGGGGACAACAGCUGGAAACGGCUGCUAAUACCGCAUAACACAUAGGUGUCGCAUGGCAUUUAUGUCAAAGAUUUAUCGCUGAGAGAUGGCCUCGCGUCUGAUUAGCUAGUUGGUAGGGUAACGGCCUACCAAGGCGACGAUCAGUAGCCGGACUGAGAGGUUGGCCGGCCACAUUGGGACUGAGAUACGGCCCAGACUCCUACGGGAGGCAGCAG